AUUGAACGCUGGCGGCAGGCCUAACACAUGCAAGUCGAACGAGUGGCGGACGGGUGAGUAAUGUGUGGGAAUCUCCCUUAUGGAGGGGGAUAACUUCGAGAAACUGUAGCUAAUACCGCAUAACCUGAGAUGACCCCAUGUGGGAUUAGAUAGUGGGUGGGGAAAAGGCUCACCAAGCCGACGAUCUCUAGCUGGUCUGAGAGGAUGACCAGCCACACUGGGACUGAGACACGGUCCAGACUCCUACGGGAGGCAGCAGUGGGGAAUAUUGCACAAUGGGCGCAACCCUGAUGCAGCCAUGCCGCGUGAAUGAAGAAGGCCUUCGGGUUGUAAAGUACUUUCAGUGGGGAGGCGUUACCCACAGAAGAAGCACCGGCUAACUCCGUGCCAGUAGCCGCGGUAAUUC
This 406-nucleotide ribosomal RNA is filed under the name uncultured bacterium. Its description in RNAcentral is "partial 16S ribosomal RNA". It matches the Rfam family "Bacterial small subunit ribosomal RNA", at positions 30 to 526 of the family's 1533-position model. The record is from RNAcentral.